RNAcentral lists this ribosomal RNA (759 nucleotides) under Paenibacillus durus. Its description in RNAcentral is "bacterial SSU rRNA". It matches the Rfam family "Bacterial small subunit ribosomal RNA", at positions 95 to 841 of the family's 1533-position model. Lineage: Bacteria; Bacillati; Bacillota; Bacilli; Caryophanales; Paenibacillaceae. The record is from RNAcentral.
GCGGCGGAGGGGAGAGUAACACGUAGGCAACCUGCCCCUUGGACUGGGAUAACUACCGGAAACGGUAUCUAAUACCGGAUAAUUCCUCUUAUCUCCUGCUAAGAGGCUGAAAGGCGGAGCAAUCUGUCACCAAGGGAUGGGCCUGCGGCGCAUUAUCUAGUUGGUGGGGUAACGGCUCACCAAGGCGACGAUGCGUAGCCCACCUGAGAGGGUGAACGGCCACACUGGGACUGAGACACGGCCCACACUCCUACGGGAGGCAGCAGUAGGGAAUCUUCCGCAAUGGGCGAAAGCCUGACAGAGCAACGCCGCGUGAGUGAUGAAGGUUUUCGGAUCGUAAAGCUCUGUUGCCAGGGAAGAACGUCUUUUAGAGUAACUGCUAAAAAAGUGACGGUACCUGAGAAAAAAGCCCCGGCUAACUACGUGCCAGCACCCGCGGUAAUACAUAGGGGGCAAGCGUUGUCCGGAAUUAUUGGGCGUAAAGCGCGCGCACGCGGCUGUUUAAGUCUGGUGUUUAAACCAUGGGCUCAACCUGUGGUCGCACUGGAAACUGGGCAGCUUGAGUGCAGAAAAGGAAAGUGGAAUUCCACGUGUAGCGGUGAAAUGCGUAGAGAUGUGGAGGAACACCAGUGGCGAAGGCGACUUUCUGGGCUGUAACUGACGCUGAGGCGCGAAAGCGUGGGGAGCAAACAGGAUUAGAUACCCUGGUAUUCCACGCCGAAAACGAUGAGUGCUAUGUGUUAGGGUUUCGAUACCCCU